Molecule: ribosomal RNA, 433 nt
Filed under: uncultured bacterium
Lineage: Bacteria
Description: partial 16S ribosomal RNA
Rfam family: Bacterial small subunit ribosomal RNA
Source: RNAcentral
AACGAACGCUGGCGGCAGGCCUAACACAUGCAAGUCGAGCGAGGACUUCGGUCCUAGCGGCGGACGGGUGAGUAACGCGUGGGAACGUGCCCUUUGCUUCGGAAUAGCCCUGGGAAACUGGGAGUAAUACCGGAUGAGCCCUUUGGGGGAAAGAUUUAUCGGCGAAGGAUCGGCCCGCGUUGGAUUAGGUAGUUGGUGGGGUAAUGGCCUACCAAGCCGACGAUCCAUAGCUGGUUUGAGAGGAUGAUCAGCCACACUGGGACUGAGACACGGCCCAGACUCCUACGGGAGGCAGCAGUGGGGAAUCUUAGACAAUAGGGGAAACCCUGAUCUAGCCAUGCCGCGUGAGCGAUGAAGGCCUUAGGGUUGUAAAGCUCUUUCAGCUGGGAAGAUAAUGACGGUACCAGCAGAAGAAGCCCCGGCUAACUCCGUG